This 253-nucleotide ribosomal RNA is filed under the name uncultured bacterium. RNAcentral describes it as "partial 16S ribosomal RNA". It matches the Rfam family "Bacterial small subunit ribosomal RNA", at positions 524 to 776 of the family's 1533-position model. The record is from RNAcentral.
UACGUAGGGUGCGAGCGUUAAUCGGAAUUACUGGGCGUAAAGUGUGCGCAGGCGGCCGCGCAAGUCGAGUGUGAAAGCCCCGGGCUUAACUUGGGAAUUGCGCUCGAAACUACGUGGCUGGAGUGUGGCAGAGGGAGGUGGAAUUCCACGUGUAGCAGUGAAAUGCGUAGAGAUGUGGAGGAACACCGAUGGCGAAGGCAGCCUCCUGGGCCAGCACUGACGCUCAUGCACGAAAGCGUGGGGAGCAAACAGG